This 291-nucleotide unclassified non-coding RNA is filed under the name Buckleyzyma aurantiaca. Its description in RNAcentral is "partial contains 5.8S ribosomal RNA, internal transcribed spacer 2, and large subunit ribosomal RNA". Lineage: Eukaryota; Fungi; Basidiomycota; Cystobasidiomycetes; Buckleyzymales; Buckleyzymaceae. The record is from RNAcentral.
CGCACCUUGCACUCUUUGGUAUUCCGAAGAGUAUGUCUGUUUGAGUGUCAUGAAACUCUCAACCCCCUUAUUUUGUAAUGAAGUAAGUGUGGGCUUGGUUCAUGGUUGUUGAAGGCUUCACGGCCUUCUCAGCUGAAAUACACGAGCUACCUAUUUUAUAAUAGACGGUUUGACUCGGCGUAAUAACUAUUUCGCUGAGGACGUCAUUUUAUAAUAGUAAAUGGUGCUUCUAAUUCAACAUCAAUCUAAGAUUUAGACCUCAAAUCAGUCAGGACUACCCGCUGAACUUAA